AACGAACGCUGGCGGCAUGCCUAACACAUGCAAGUCGAACGAGACCUUCGGGUCUAGUGGCGCACGGGUGCGUAACGCCUGGGAACCUGCCCUUAGGUUCGGAAUAACUCAGAGAAAUUUGAGCUAAUACCGGCUGAUGUCUUCGGACCAAAGAUUUAUCGCCUUUAGAUGGGCCCGAGUUGGAGUAGCUAGUUGGUGGGGUAAAGGCCUGCCAAGGCGACGAUCCAUAGCUGGUCUGAGAGGAUGAUCAGCCACACUGGGGCUGAGACACGGCCCAGACUCCUACGGGAGGCAGCAGUAGGGAAUAUUGGACACUGGGCGAAAGCCUGCUCCAGCAAUGCCGCGUGAGUGAUGAAGGCCUUAGGGUUGUAAAGCUCUUUUACCCGAGAUGAUAAUGACAGUAUCGGGAGAAUAAGCUCCGGCUAACUCCGUG
RNAcentral lists this ribosomal RNA (433 nucleotides) under uncultured bacterium. RNAcentral describes it as "partial 16S ribosomal RNA". It matches the Rfam family "Bacterial small subunit ribosomal RNA", at positions 29 to 507 of the family's 1533-position model. The record is from RNAcentral.